GACGAACGCUGGCGGCGUGCUUAACACAUGCAAGUCGAGCGGUAAGGCCCUUUCGGGGGUACGACGAGCGGCGAACGGGUGAGUAACACGUGGGUGACCUGCCCUUAGCUCUGGGAUAAGCCUGGGAAACUGGGUCGUAAUACCGGAUAUGACUCCAUAACGCAUGUUGUGGGGUGGAAAGCCUUGUGCGGCUAGGGAUGGGCCCGCGGCCUAUCAGCUUGUUGGUGGGGUGAUGGCCACCAAGGCGACGA
Molecule: ribosomal RNA, 251 nt
Filed under: uncultured bacterium
Lineage: Bacteria
Description: partial 16S ribosomal RNA
Rfam family: Bacterial small subunit ribosomal RNA
Source: RNAcentral